AGUGCCACGUUGUUUGUGUUCCCCAUUUGUUCCUUAACUAUCUUUCUGUUUAAUUCUUAGAGAAAACGUGACAGUGGAACUAAGAAGUAGUUGAAAUCUUUCCUGAUCAGCUCAAAGAAACAAAGAAAGUGAGAAAUAAAUAGAAAACAUUUUACAAAUGUUUGUUAUCCAGCUAGUGUGGGGCCAGGUUGGGCACAGAGAAAGUGUAGUAAGCAUACGAAACGAUUUGUGGUUCUAAAGAGAAGAAGCUGCAUUAUUUAAUACUUGGACAGACCUUGAAUCCUUUGAUUCAGUUAAUCUGGUUGCUGAAGCAAAAAUGUUCAGGUGAAGGUUUUCCCCAUUCUAUACUUGCAAGCAGACCAUGGGGAAUCUUUGCAAUCUCUGUUUUGUAUGCCUCUGACUGUUUGGAGCAACAUUAACUGUGUCUGAUUAGUAUGUACACAUCCAUCACAAAAUGAACCGUCAAGGAAUUUGGGAAAUGUAGAAAGGUUCUCUCAACAAGAUUGAGCAGCGUUAAUAAAGAAAAGUUGCCGAAACCAUUUUAUUUCCCGCCUUUCCAGAAAAUAUUAUGGCGGACGUUUUGGCAACAGCCAAUAGAAUUCGAGAGGACAACAAGCUGGGACGUGUUCUGCAGUGAUUUCGUAGCUUGGUUUUAUCCCAUGACAUCAAUGAAGCCGGUCAUUAGAAAGAGAAAAGAAAUCAGUUGUUACUUAGGUGAACUAGAACUUCAUUGUAACAAGUAUUAUUGUACAAAUAACAAAAACAAAUAACAAGUAAGUAUUGUAACUUGUUCAUUGUAACAACUUAGCUGAAAUCUUGGUUGAAAAAAAAAAUACUAGAAUGGAUUAUAAACCCAUUGGUGAGAAAGGUCACAAAACUGAAACAUCUUAUGAAAAUUCUGCCUGUAAAAGAAUAACCAGUGAAUGAUUCAUAACAUCAUUAUCUGUACAAAUUACUCCUUCGACAAUUAAGUGUCACUCCCAAGAUCGAAUAGUUAUAAAAGUGCGGUAAUGUUUUCAACUUAAUUACUAAGACAUUUAUAGCCCCAUUAUCAGAAGAAGUAAAUUGGGAUAUGAAAGAUCCUUUUCUUGGCAGAACUAACAAUGGGACUGGACAAAACACAGUUGAACAAAGGGGCAUCUAUCAGACAAUAUGUGAAUGAUUGUGGUAAUUUAAAAAUUAUAAAAUUUUUAAAACCAGAAGUCUGAGAAGGCAUUGUAAGAGAUCGAUCAGUGAAUGGGUUUUGUGUUGGAUUCAUAAAAUAUUUCGGAUGGUGAGCACAUUUUGUAUUGGAGAAGUCCAGUGAUUUGGGACUGGCAAUACUUCCAGCAGUAAAGUUUAAUGCAUUAAACCUCUAGUGCGAAAGUACCAAAAAGUCAGAACUAAUUGAAACAUGAAAUCUCAGAGCUCGCUGGGCAUUAGGUCAAAUACCAUAUUCCUUGCAGUUAAAACAUCGGAAUGAAUUGGAUCCAGCGUUUGAAUGGGGAAUUUAUUAUGCACCACUGAAGUUACUUAAUUGUGCAAUAGUUGAAGAUAAAGUUUUUCUGACCUUGGCACAUAGCAACAUUGAAGCACAAUGUUCAAUUAGGAUUUAUGCAAAAAUUGGAGGAGAUUGGUGUGGGAGACCAACAAAAGCCAAUUACGGCAUCAAGCUGCUCAUCGCGUUUAUGGUUGGAACGACUGGGUGUUUGGAUGGGCUCGUCUUCCUCCUAGUACGAGCACCACAUUUGUUCCCUACCACCCCACGGCGUGCACCGCUCCACAUACUGCUCAAAGGUACCAGACUUUUACACAAAGAAAUACACGAGCUUUACAUGAUUCUAAUCUUUGGGAGUACCACACGGCCACAUGCGUAUCCCAAAUGUUACACUAGGAGGCGCCUGAAUGCUAGAUCACGUAUGCAACUCCAGCUACUACGCUGAAGGCCCAAAACACUAGGUUGCAAGCUACUCUGGAAGCUUCCGUUUGCCACGCUCACAUGUAUGGCUCUCGAAGCAAAGUACUAAGAUUCGAGGGUUCAGAUUACUACACUGCCGCUACCCAAUCUUACUGUGCCAAAUCGAACUACAUUUCCGGCUCACUACACUGGAGCUCCGAAAUAACAUUUGGCGCAGGUAUGGAAGCAAAGUACUACACAAAUGCUGCCGAGUACUACGGUUGCGCUUUGUCCUACACGGCAGUUUCGGAAUACAUCUCUUUGAAGGUGAUAUACCAUACCACAAACCGAGGUAC
Long non-coding RNA from Daphnia carinata, 2232 nucleotides. RefSeq lists it as uncharacterized. The transcript is spliced from 12 exons. Lineage: Eukaryota; Metazoa; Arthropoda; Branchiopoda; Diplostraca; Daphniidae. The record is from RefSeq and is a predicted model, not a curated record.